CGGAGCAACACUUGUGCGUGAAGUGGGUCAGGGGAGGAAUCCAGCAGCCCUAAGCGAUUUUCGGGUGUGUGCUCUUUUUUUGUG
RNAcentral lists this signal recognition particle RNA (84 nucleotides) under Streptococcus pyogenes MGAS10750. Its description in RNAcentral is "Bacterial small signal recognition particle RNA". The stretch from base 3 to 74 matches the Rfam family "Bacterial small signal recognition particle RNA", at positions 12 to 81 of the family's 97-position model. Rfam says of the family: The signal recognition particle (SRP) is a universally conserved ribonucleoprotein involved in the co-translational targeting of proteins to membranes. Archaeal SRP consists of a 7S RNA and homologues of the eukaryotic SRP19 and SRP54 proteins. Lineage: Bacteria; Bacillati; Bacillota; Bacilli; Lactobacillales; Streptococcaceae. The record is from Rfam by way of RNAcentral.